CCCCUAGAUGUUCUGGGCCGCACGCGCGCUACACUGAACAGUUCAACAAGUCUUAACCUUGGCCGAUAGGUCUGGGUAAUCUUUGAACGCUGUUCGUGAUUGGGAUAGACCUUUGCAAUUAUGGGUCUUCAACGAGGAAUUCCUAGUAAACGCAGGUCAUCAGCUUGCAUUGAUUACGUCCCUGCCCUUUGUACACACCGCCCGUCGCACCUACCGAUUGAAUGGUCCGGUGAAAUCUCGGGACGGCGGCUUGGUCGCUUGCGUCCGACUGCUGAAACUUGAUUAAACCAUAUCAUUUAGAGGAAGGGGAAGUCGUAACA
Molecule: ribosomal RNA, 320 nt
Filed under: uncultured eukaryote
Lineage: Eukaryota
Description: partial 18S ribosomal RNA
Rfam family: Eukaryotic small subunit ribosomal RNA
Source: RNAcentral